CCUCCGACUUUCGGGAAGGAGUGGACUUACUAGUUUUGAGCCGACCCGGCUUGCCGGUUUAUUGGUGAAUCAUAAUAAUUUCUAGAUCGCAGUGGCUUUUCGGCCGGCGAUGGGUCAUUCAAAUUUCUGCCCUAUCAGCUUUGAUGUUAGUGUAGUGGACUAACAUGGCAAAUACGGGUGACGGAGGAUUAGGGUCUGAUUCCGGAGAGGGAGCCUGAGAAACGGCUACCACUUCCAAGGAAGGCAGCAGGCGCGUAAAUUACCCAAUCCCGACACGGGGAGGUAGUGACAAGAAAUAACAAUACUAGGCUUUUUAAAAGUCUGGUAGUUGGAAUGAGUACAAUCUAAAACACUUAACGAGGAACAAUUGGAGGGCAAGUCUGGUGCCAGCAGCCGCGGUAAUACCAGCUCCAAUAGCGUAUAUUAAAGUUGUUGCAGUUAAAAGGCUCGUAGUCGAACUUCUGGCUCUGUGCACGCGGCGCGCUGCUUUGCAGCGAUUGUUGCUGUGAACGGGCCAUCCUUCUGGAGAGCGUGUCUUCCCUUGAUUGGGCGGGCACGUAAUUCAGUUCAUUUACUGUGAGAAAAUCAGAGUGUUCAAAGCAGGCUUUGAUCGCUUGAAUGUUACAGCAUGGAAUAAUAAGAUAGGGCUUUGGUUUUAUCUUGUUGGCUGUGAACUAAAGUAAUGAUGGAAAGGGAUAGUUGGGGGUGCUAGUAUUUAAUGGUCAGCGGUGAAAUGCGUGGACCCAUUAAAGACUAACUUAUGCGAAAGCAUUCACCAAGGAUAUCUUCUUUGAUCAAGAACGAAAGUUGGGGGAUCGAAGACGAUCAGAUACCGUCGUAGUCUCAACCAUAAACUAUGCCAACUAGGGAUUGGCGGUCGUUGAUUAUCGACUCCGUCAGCACCUUAUGAGAAAUCAAAGUCUCUGGGUUCUGGGGGGAGUAUGGUCGCAAGGCUGAAACUUAAAGGAAUUGACGGAAGGGCACCACCAGGAGUGGAGCCUGCGGCUCAAUUUGACCCAACACGGGAAAACUUACCAGGUCCGGACAUAGUAAGGAUUGACAGAUUGAAGAUCUUUCUUGAUUCUAUGGAUGGUGGUGCAUGGCCGUUCUUAGUUGGUGGAGUGAUUUGUCUGGUUAAUUCCGUUAACGAACGAGACCUCAGCCUGCUAAUUAGACAGCGCGAUUGCGAUCGACGUUGCCUUCUUAGAGGGACUAUCGGCUUUUAAGUCGGGGGAAGUGUGAGGCAAUAACAGGUCUGUGAUGCCCUUAGAUGUUCUGGGCCGCACGCGCGCUACACUGAUACAGUCAGCGAGUUCUCACCUUGGCCGAAAGGUCUGGGCAAUCUUGGGAAACUGUAUCGUGAUGGGGCUUGACGAUUGCAAUUAUUUGUCACAAACGAGGAAUUCCUAGUAAGCGCAAGUCAUCAACUUGCAUUGAUUACGUCCCUGCCCUUUGUACACACCGCCCGUCGCUCCUACCGAUUGAAUGUUCCGGUGAACCCUCUGGAGCCGUGACCUCGUCGGGGCAACUCGCUUGGUCAUGGUGAAAUUGUGUAAACCUUAACAUUUAGAGGAAGGAGAAGUCGUAACAAGGUU
RNAcentral lists this ribosomal RNA (1595 nucleotides) under metagenome. Its description in RNAcentral is "SSU rRNA". It matches the Rfam family "Eukaryotic small subunit ribosomal RNA", at positions 174 to 1801 of the family's 1831-position model. The record is from RNAcentral.